CGUCAAAAUCGCCGGUCGAUAUAUUCAACUGCUUGAAGGCUUAUAAGUUAUAAACAAUAAACACGAUAACAUUUAACGGCCAUAUAAAUUAAAGUAAAUAUACAAAUUAUGACUAAAAGUUGCAGUUUUCCGUCGCUGUUAAUCGUGGCCAUUUUGUUGUCCGCGUACUGCAUACAACAUUCGGAAGCAGUCUUUGGCAUCCUCACGCCUCCCGAGGGGAAAAGAGGAUUUGAAAGUGAUUUUUUGAGGCGAAAAAUUUCGACGCUCGAAGCGAUACGGCAGAAAUUACAACGAAGGAAUUACUUCGAUGCACUGAUAUCGAAAAUGAAACGUGACCACGGCGAUAAAAUAGACGUCGAAACGUCAUUAUUCAGACAGAAGUGAAUGAAAAUGCGUAGUAAUUGACUGGCAAGGGAAAAUAUCGUAAAUCCGUAAUACUUUCUGUGCAAAUGUACUUUUGCCGGUGUAUUGUUAGCUGUUAAAUUAAAUAUGACUUAUAUACCUUCGAGACUUGUGAUGUCGUAGGACCCUACAAAAAAUGUUCAUUCCGCCAAUAGUAUUACAUUGACCUGAAACAAAAACUACAAAAAAGUAAUAAGAAUAGCAAUGUUAAAGAUUAUUAUUUUGCAGGCAAAUUAUUGAGGCGUAAAAUGUUGUAUUAAUAUUGUGUUCCAAGGGGGGAGUAUCGUCU
Dendronephthya gigantea is the source of this 691-nucleotide long non-coding RNA. RefSeq lists it as uncharacterized. The transcript is spliced from 2 exons. The record is from RefSeq and is a predicted model, not a curated record. Lineage: Eukaryota; Metazoa; Cnidaria; Anthozoa; Malacalcyonacea; Nephtheidae.